AACUUAGGUAGAUACCCAGUUGUGGGAUUGUUGUAUUGAAUGAUAGUUCUAUAUUUAGCUCUUUGAGAAGUGUCCAUACUGUCUCCUAUAGAGGUUAUACUAAUUUCUGUUAUCACCAACAGUGUAUAUGCAUUCCCUUUUCUCCACAUCCUCACCAACAGCUGUUGUUUUUUGACUUUUUAAUAAUAGUCAUUCUGAUUGGUGUGAAAUGGUAUCUUGUGUGGUUUUAAUUUGCAUUUAUCUGAUAAUUAAUGAUGUUCAGCAUUUUUUUAUGUUUGUUGGCUGCUUGUGUGUCUUCUUUUCAAAAAUGUCUUUUCCAUUGUCUUUUGCCCACUUUUUAAUGGGGUUGUUGUUUAACUUUCUUUUAAUGAUUUAUAAGUAUUUUAAAUAUGUGUAGGAUGCUUAUUCCUUUGUCAUAUGUGUUGCAAAUUUUGUUUGCCUGUUGGCUUUUAGUCAUCUUUGGAGAAUUUGGGGGAAAUUUUUCAAUUCUUAUUAAUCAAAUCAAUCUGUUUUUUUCUUUUUUUUCCCCACCUGCCUUUUUCUGUAUGCUUAGAAUAGCUUCCUCAGCCUAAGAUUAAACAUUUACUUGUGUCUUCUCCUGGUGCUUGUUUGGUUUUACUUUUUACAAUUAACAUCUGCAGUGUAUUUUAGUGUAAGAAGUGAGGUCGGGGUCCUGACUCUUUUUCUCAACUAACCAGAUGAUCUGGAACCUUACGAUACGUAGUAGGACUCUUCGCCUCUCUUAUCUGCAGUCCACCUUUAAGAUACACUGAAUCACUAUCUGUUCUGGCUUCUCGCUAGUCUCUCUGUUAUGCCAUAUUGAAAGUCUGUUUACUUGCAUGCCAGUGUGAUACCAUGUAAUUAUUGUGGCUGUGCAUUUUAAGACUACUUUUUGCCAUACCACUUCUUCAAAUUAGUAUUCUUUUUCAAAAUAAUCUUGGUUAUUCAUAAACAUUAAUUCUUCCACAUGGACUUUAGAAUUGUUUACUCACGUUCUCUCAAGUUCUUACUAGUUUUAUAAAAUUGGAAUUAUAGCGGAUUUAUAGAUGAAGAAAAGAACUGACACCUUUAUAAUAUUGAGUCAUCUUGUUGAAGAACAAGGGUUGUCCUUGGCUAUCUUGAUGACCCAAGUGAGGACAUUCAGGAUCCAGUGAGUGACAAAUUCUUCAAGGAGGUGUGGGUUUCAACAGCAGCUCGAAAUGCUACAAUUUAUGACAAGGUUUUCCGGUGCCUUCCCAAUGAUGAAGUACACAAUUUAAUUCAGCUGAGAGACUUUAUAAACAAGCCCGUAUUAGCUAAGGAAGAUCCCAUUCGAGCUGAGGAGGAACUGAAGAAGAUCCGUGGAUUUUUGGUGCAAUUCCCCUUUUAUUUCUUGUCUGAAGAAAGCCUACUGCCUUCUGUUGGGACCAAAGAGGCCAUAGUGCCCAUGGAGGUUUGGACUUAAGAGAUAUUCAUUGGCAGCUCAAAGACUUCCACCCUGGAGACCACACUGCACACAGUGACUUCCUGGGGAUGUCAUAGCCAAAGCCAGGCCUGACGCAUUCUCGUAUCCAACCCAAGGACCUUUUGGAAUGACUGGGGAGGGCUGCAGUCACAUUGAUGUAAGGACUGUAAACAUCAGCAAGACUUUAUAAUUCCUUCUGCCUAACUUGUAAAAAGGGGGCUGCAUUCUUGUUGGUAGCAUGUACUCUGUUGAGUAAAACACAUAUUCAAAUUCCGUAUACCAAAAUCCAUUUCCUUUGUAACAAGAAUUUACCAGUAACUGUGAUCUAGGUUGCCAAAAGUUGUCUGAAUCUCCUUAUUCUUCUCUGAUCUUCAUUUAUGCAGCCAAUGUCUAGCUGGACCUGCCCUCAUCUUGCAGUUCAUACAGGCACUGUUUGAGAGAUUGUUUAUUAUUAGAUGUUGUAAUGCUGCUUCAAGAUUCUUCAUGGUUACAUGGGAUGCCCCUGCUCAUCUGGUCCUGAAGUAGUAACAUUCACCCAAAUGAGGAUAUAGUCAUUAUUCCUUUUCAGUCACUGUACGAACACGGCAGACUUUAGCCUACACAGUAGACUGUGUUAGGCACUUCUGGUAACAUUGACACUGUAUCUUGACACCACUAAGCAACAGGAAGGAAUAAAUUCCAAUAUUGAGACAGAGAUUUAUUUCAUUUUGCUCCCAAAGGCACUGACAACAUGAGUCCUUGUGAUUAGGCCCACCUGAUCAAAUGUAAAAACAUGCAUGGGAUAUUUGAUUACGUAACAACCAGCUAAAACUGAGAGCACACAGCCUUCGGAAACCCCCAAGGUGUCGAGGAGGAUCAGAUCCAGAUAAGAGAAGAUGAUUCCUUCUAGUCCUGUAAAAUUUCCUGUCAUCCUUAGCUGCUGGGUUGAUUGAAAUUUGAUCUCUACAUUUCAAAAUCAAACUAGUGAAUACAGUUUGUCUUUCAAGAGAAUCAGAGGCAUCGUAACUCCUACCAAGUUAGUAAGUAUGAGUCUAACCUUGUUUGACAUUCAGGUCUUCUGCUACAUUAUCUUCUUUGAGAAAAAUUAAUUGAUUAUAAAAUAUGUGCUACUUCACUUACAUUAUUAAAUAUGUAUUAACGCCUCUCACCAGGGCUUCCAGUGAAGUUACAAUGCCCUAGUCUGUGAAUUAGUCUGGAAACGUGUUUUUCCUUUUCGGAUGUUAGAGUACCCUUUGAUAAACUAAAUUUUACUAAGCUGAACAACUCUGACAGUCUAAAGAGCUAAUGUGGGUUACCAAAAGGCCUGUACCUGUAAAACAAAAUGCAGGUGUAAUGAUUAUACAUGUCUAUGGAUUACCUGGACAUACUCUCAUUUGGGUUGUUCUUCAAAGAAGCAAGCAGCCGAUCCCUGUUUUCAUAAAGCUAAUACUUCAGUUGGAAAAAUUAAACAGGAGCACAAAGUCAGGGAUAGGGGUUAGCAGAAGAGAGAAAUAGUGUCACAUCAAGGGCAGGAUCUCAUAGCUAGGGAACAUUUCACAAAUAAGGUGAGAUUUUGUAACCAAUAAUAAAAAUGAAUGUUUUUAUAAGUAAAUAACUUAUUUUUCAUAUGGCUAAAGAUGGUAAAAUGACUUCAUUCUAUAGCCAUUGUAAAUAAGAAUUUGCUAUUGAUGAAAGAAGUUCAGAUUGGCAUUUGAAGUAUUGAGUGUAUGGGAUCUCUAAGGAUUUCUUAGAUUUUAUAUUUAAAUAUUUUUUAAACCUUAGAGGAGUCAACAAACUGGCUCUUGAUUUUCAGCACCCUACUCUCAUGAAAAAAGCCUGAAAGGACCCUUUCCCUUAUAAGUAAUUUAAUCCAAUUUCUCCCCAUUUUAUAGAUGAGGAAACUGAGGCUCAGAUCAGAUGAGAACUCACUUAAAUCCACUCAAUGUGUAGAUGGUAGAGCUGGGACUAGCAACAUUGCUGCAGCCCAUUGUUGGCCUCUCUCUUCACUUUAUCAUUGCCCAAGAAUGAGGAUAUGCAGUAAACAGAAUUCAGGCAAGAUACCUCUAAGCUGUUUUGAACCCUCUGAUAUUUUGUAUUUAUGUGUUUGUCUGUCUCCCCCUACUAGAAUGUAAGCUCCAUGGGGCAGGGACUUCACUGUAUUUUGUUCAUAGUGUAUCCCCAGAGCCUGGACCAGUGCUUGGCACAUAGGAGAUGGCAAUAAAUGCUUGUAGAAUUAAUAAACAAGGUGAAGGAGAGAGCUAAUGAAAUGAAAA
Molecule: long non-coding RNA, 3696 nt
Filed under: Homo sapiens (human)
Lineage: Eukaryota; Metazoa; Chordata; Mammalia; Primates; Hominidae
Description: HSALNT0064121
Source: RNAcentral